GGCUGCAAGGUGGCGCAGUUGGUAGCAUCGUUGCCUUGCAGCACUGUUGCCUUGCAGAAGAAGGUCCUGGGUUCGACUCCCAGCCAGCGGUCU
Molecule: non-coding RNA, 93 nt
Organism: Crenichthys baileyi (White River springfish)
Lineage: Eukaryota; Metazoa; Chordata; Actinopteri; Cyprinodontiformes; Goodeidae
Source: the annotation of a GenBank genome assembly